CUGCAGCAUAUGGAAGUUUCCAGGCUAGGGGUCAAAUCGGAGCUGCAGGUGCAGGCCUACAUCACAGCCACAGUAACCUGUGAUCCAAGCUGUGUCUGUGAUCUACACCACAGCUCACAGCAAUGCUGGAUCCUUAACCCACUAAACAAGGCCAGGGAUCAAACCCACAUCUUCAUGGAUUCAAUUCAAUUCUGCUGUGCCACAGCGGGAACUCCUGAAAAUUUAAAUCUUUUAAUAAAAUGUUGCCCUUCUGUCUUCCCUAAAUAUGUCACUAAGAUUUUGAUUGAUACUGUGUUAAAUUUAUAGAUUAAUUUUGGGGGAAUUUGCAUCAUUACAAUAUUAUGUCUUUCCAUCCAGCAAUAUGGUAUGUUUCUCUAUUCAACUCUGUCUAUCAGUAAAAUUUGAAUGUUAUUUAGUUUCCAUUUGGUUUAAUUCUGGAUAUUUUAUAGCUUUUUGGUACUGUUAAUAAAUACUACUUUUUAAAACAUUUUUCUAAUGGCUUUUGCUAGUACAUAGAAAACACUAUUAAUUUUAUGAUUAUUGAUUGGGUAAUUGUUCACUCAUUAAGACUAACUUAAAGAGUCUAAUAUUCUUCUCUAUCCAUUCACUCAUUCUGUAAAUAUUCACUGAAUGUUUACAAUGUGCCAGGCACUAUUCUGGGUUCUGAAAAUGAGCAGUUAAAAAAAACAAAGACAAAAACAAAACUGUCCUCAAGAUCUUUACAGUCUGGAGUUCCUGCCAUGGCACAGUGGGUUAAGAAUCUGACUACAGCAGCUCGGGUCACUGUGGAGGUGCAGGUUCAGUCUCUGGACCAGCUCAGUGGCUUAAAGGAUCUACUGUUGCCGAAGCUACAGUGUAGGUUGUAGCUGUGGCUCAGAUUCAAUUCCUGGUCUAGGAACUUCCAUGGGCUGCAGGUGCGACCAUAAAAUUAAAAAACAAAAACAAAACAAACAAAAAAAAACUUUCCAGUCUACUGAGAGGAAAUACUAAAUAAAUAAAUAUAUGACAGGCAGUGAUUAAGUGCUAAGAAGGUUAGGCAAGCAUAGUAAAGAGUAUGGAAAAUGACCAUGAAAAAUACUAUUUCAGAUAACAUGUUCGAAAACCACCUCUGAUAAGUUGAAGUUUGAGGAGAGACUUAAAAUGAUGUUGCUUUUUUUGGGUUUUCCCUGUAGACAUUUAUAUCACUAUACACUUUCCACCCUCAGCAAGAUUUCCACGCUCCUGGAAAACUGCCUGUCCAGUGGCAGCAACACCAAAGAUUUAGUCUAUAAAGGAAGUUUCCAGGGUUCUCAGUAUCCCUAGAUUUCAAUUAUGGCUCCAUAGGUCCUUCUAACUACAACCCCAACUGGAUUUUAGAGGCUCACAGAGUUCAGUGUGCUCCUGGUAAGCUGACUUACCCCUCCCCUCCCAAAUCACAGUAUCUGCCUGCCUCACCAAAAUAAACUGCCUAGGGACAAUUCUGACACUCUAAUUGGAGACUACAAACUGCUUAAAAGAACAAUCCCAAUAGGAAAAGAAAGAACUCCAUCUUAUCUCAUGUGCCUAUUUGCCUCUUGUAACAGGUCAAGUACAUCAUAUAGAUUCUUAAUUCCAUAAUGCUUUGCUCUAUUCUAGAAUAAUUUCCCACUUCUCUUGAUCUAUUUUGAUUCUUUCAGUGUGCUAUUGUCAGUCAAAUCCCCUAUCAGCCUUAAACAACUUUUAUAAACAUUGUGUUUAUCUUCUUACUCUAACCAAAAACCUAGCCAUCUCCUAGUAAUAUUGUUCCUUGCAAUGCUCUCAAGUUGUAGCUGUUUGUUUGUUGUUAUUUUAAUCCUUUACCACCUUAACCAAAAUGCCUAGUGAUGAGGUAGGUGCCCCGCAUGCUCCCCACUGACAAUUCCAAACCUUUCCCCUUCCUUCCAAAAUCUUAGUUCCCUCGAGGUAUAUACCAUUACAUUAUAGCCUGAACCUACCCAGGUUGACUGCCUGCUAAAACAAAAUACCAACAUUCUCAAUAGAAUUUACACAAUACAGUUUCAAAACACAGCAGUCAAAAUGUCUAGGAUGCAAUCCAAACUUACUAAGCAUACAAAGAACCAGGAAAAGUCUCAAUUCACAUGGGGAAGAAAGAUGUCAAUGUUGAGAGAAUACAGAUGAUAGAGUUAUCUGACAAAGGCUCUGAGGGAGCUAUUUGUUGGGAGACAAUUCUCCACUGAUCUGUUGUAUUUCUGCAUGUCUUUUGGGCAAGGGCAUUAAUAGCUUUUUUCCUGGACUAUCUUUUCAGGGAUGUUUAUAGAGCAAACAUCCUUGGAAGACAGAGAUAACGUCUUCUUCUAGGGCCAAGGACAGAUUUGUGUGCUACCUGAAUAAAAAAGAUAACUUCUCUCUCCAGGGCACAGCUGGAUAGGUUUGCUGGCCCCUUAUGACAAACUGGAGUUUUGCAUAGAGUUCCUCUCCUGUGAUGAAGCUCCCAUGUCACAUGGUCCCCCUGACAUUACUCAGUGGGAACUGGGGCUCAGGAAACUGGCAUAAAUGCCGACAUUCUGCUUCCUGCUCCUGCUGUGGGUAAUAAAUUGUCCUUUGUCUCUGACCCUGGGGACUCAUGUCUUCUGCUACUAUCCCUGAAACUAUGGCAGCCUAGCUUGUUAGCUUGCAAGUAAGGUAAAAUCUCAGGCCCUUCAAAGUUUUCAACUCCGUUAUAAAAAUUCUCUUAGCAAGCAAUCAAAAGCAUUUUUGAAACCAAUGGAAAAAUACAAAUUAUCAGCAAGAAACAGAAAAUAUAAAGAAAAAAACAAAUGUUUAGUUUAGAACUGAAAAAUGUAGUAGCCAAAAAUUUAAAUAUUUAAAUUUAAAUAUUAAAUAUUCAUUCAGUACCAGAGUAAAGAUGACAAAGCAAAAUGUCAGCGAAAUUGAAGAUAGAUCAAUACAAAUUACUCAGCCUGAAAGAGAGAGAAAAAAAAUAUCGGAUAAACACUUAAUAGAAUCUCAGGGACCUGUGGGAUAAUAACAAAAAGUGUUGAAAAUUUGGGCAAAAGACAUAAAUCAACAGAGUCAAGAACCUCAACAAAGCCCAAAUAUAAUGAACAUAAAGGUAUUUGUGCCCAAAAAUAUCAUCGUCAAAAUGCUGAGAAAUACAGAAAAAUGUUGAAAGCAGCCACAGAAAUGCAAUUAUUACCUACAGGGUAACAACAAUUUGAAUUACUGUAGAUUUCUCAUAAGGGACCAUGAAAUCUGGGAGGAAAUGACACAACAUUUUUAAAGUGAUAAAGAAAAGAAUGGUCAACACAUAAUAGUAGGUACAGUAAAAAUAUCUUUCAGAAGUUAAGGUGAGAAGUUCCCAUUGUGGCACAGUGGUUAACGAAUCCGACUAGGAACCAUGAGGUUGCAGGUUCAAUCCCUGGCCUUGCUCAGUGGGUUAAGGAUCCAGCGUUGCCGUGAGCUGUGGUGUAGGUCGAAGAUGAGGCUCGUAUCUGGCGUUACUGUGGCUGUGUCUGUGCCAUAGGCCGGCAGCUGUAGCUCUGAUUCAACCCCUAGCCUGGGAACUUCCAUAUGCCACAGGAGCGGCCCUAAAAAGACCAAAAAAAAAAAAGAAAGAAAGAAAAGAUAUCUAUCCUUUAAGCAAUUUAUUAGGAAAUGUUUUAUCUUCUAGAUUCAGUGUCUACGUGUCUACUCUAAAACUGGAACUAUGCUCUUUAAAUACUUUUCAUUUGCCAGUUGGCACAAUGUUAAGCUAUGUCAGUAGAGGGUGCUGGGAAGAACUUUCCUUCCUGGUUCUUGCUUGCUUUCUUGGCUGGCACUAGUAACACACAUAGUUUCUUCUGCAUACACACCCCCCACCCUCCGCCCCCAAUCCUACAGUGCCUAUAGCUUUUCCUUUACCUGGCGCCUGAAGUGUAGGUGACUUCCUAGUGCUUAGUUUCUACAGUGCAGGCGGCUUCCCCAAUAACAGGCUCCUGCAGUCUGAGCAAUUUCACCAGUACCCAGCAGCUUUCCCAGAUCCAACCUCAGACUACUUUGGAGCAGAGUGGCUCCCACAAGACACCUACCCAGGAAAGCUUUCUCUCGUAUCAAUAAAGAUACCUGGCGCCUGAAGUGUAGGUGACUUCCUAGUGCUUAGUUUCUACAGUGCAGGCGGCUUCCCCAAUAACAGGCUCCUGCAGUCUGAGCAAUUUCACCAGUACCCAGCAGCUUUCCCAGAUCCAACCUCAGACUACUUUGGAGCAGAGUGGCUCCCACAAGACACCUACCCAGGAAAGCUUUCUCUGGUAUCAAUAAAGACCAGAAGGGGGAUUUCCAGCAUGGUACAUUGGCACAGAACCAAAGCAAAUUUGCUGUCAGACAAUAAGUCAUGGCCUU
RNAcentral lists this long non-coding RNA (4335 nucleotides) under Sus scrofa (pig). Its description in RNAcentral is "lncRNA (ENSSSCG00030029992.1)". The record is from RNAcentral. Lineage: Eukaryota; Metazoa; Chordata; Mammalia; Artiodactyla; Suidae.